RNAcentral lists this ribosomal RNA (497 nucleotides) under uncultured bacterium. Its description in RNAcentral is "partial 16S ribosomal RNA". It matches the Rfam family "Bacterial small subunit ribosomal RNA", at positions 28 to 507 of the family's 1533-position model. The record is from RNAcentral.
GAUGAACGCUGGCGGCGUGCCUAAUACAUGCAAGUCGAGCGAACAGAUGAGGAGCUUGCUCCUCUGACGUUAGCGGCGGACGGGUGAGUAACACGUGGAUAACCUACCUAUAAGACUGGGAUAACUUCGGGAAACCGGAGCUAAUACCGGAUAAUAUAUUGAACCGCAUGGUUCAAUAGUGAAAGACGGUUUUGCUGUCACUUAUAGAUGGAUCCGCGCCGCAUUAGCUAGUUGGUAAGGUAACGGCUUACCAAGGCAACGAUGCGUAGCCGACCUGAGAGGGUGAUCGGCCACACGGGAGCUGAGACACGGUCCAGACUCCUACGGGAGGCAGCAGUAGGGAAUCUUCCGCAAUGGGCGAAAGCCUGACGGAGCAACGCCGCGUGAGUGAUGAAGGUCUUCGGAUCGUAAAACUCUGUUAUUAGGGAAGAACAAAUGUGUAAGUAACUAUGCACGUCUUGACGGUACCUAAUCAGAAAGCCACGGCUAACUACGUG